UAACUAAGCGGAGGAAAAGAAACUAACAAGGAUUCCCCUAGUAAGGGCGACUGAGGCGGGAUCAGCCCAGAUUGUAAACUGGCCGCCUCGGCGGCUGGGUUGUAGUCUACAGAGGCGACGCCAGGCAAGGUCCGGGGAGAAGUCCCUUGGAACAGGGCAUCGGAGAGGGUGACAAUCCCGUCUGUGCCUCGGACCGAGUCGUACGGCGCGUCUUCGACGAGUCGAUUUGCUUGGGAUUGCAGAUCAAACGGGUGGUAAAUUCCAUCUAAGGCUAAAUACGGGUGGG
Molecule: ribosomal RNA, 286 nt
Filed under: Aureococcus anophagefferens
Lineage: Eukaryota; Pelagophyceae; Pelagomonadales; Pelagomonadaceae
Description: partial 28S ribosomal RNA
Rfam family: Eukaryotic large subunit ribosomal RNA
Source: RNAcentral